AGAUUGAACGCUGGCGGCAGGCCUAACACAUGCAAGUCGAACGGCAGCACAGUAGGAGCUUGCUCUUACGGGUGGCGAGUGGCGGACGGGUGAGGAAUACAUCGGAAUCUACCUUUUGGUGGGGGAUAACGGUGGGGAAACUUACGCUAAUACCGCAUACGCCCUUCGGGGGAAAGCCGGGGACCAGCAAUGGCCUGGCGCUGAUAGAUGAGCCGAUGUCGGAUUAGC
RNAcentral lists this ribosomal RNA (228 nucleotides) under uncultured soil bacterium. RNAcentral's name for it is "partial 16S ribosomal RNA". It matches the Rfam family "Bacterial small subunit ribosomal RNA", at positions 26 to 245 of the family's 1533-position model. The record is from RNAcentral.